UCUUCUGACAAAGUGGACCUUACUUGUGUUGUGCAAUGUUUUGCCAUUACACACCACAAGUCAAUUCCCUUGAGGAAAAGAAUUCUUUGUUUGAGUUGUAUUUAUCCAAUAUUCAUUUGUCUUCUUGUGUGCAAUUUUUGAACCAGUAAAAAAAAAAGACACAUGGUUUGUAAUGGGAAAAUAUUGCACCACAACAAAUAAGGUAUAUUGCUGUACCUUAUCACCAGAAUGCUUUCUUUUUCCAGGUACAGGUAAUGGCUUGUUUUGGUCAACAGAUUUAACAGAUGAUGGUGCCUUUCAUUCACAAAGAUAAAACUCCUGUCAUUAUUCGCCCGGCACGUAACACCUGGAUCGGAACCCAUCUUUGUGCUGACUGAAGUGAUUACUUGCGAGCUGGCGAUUCGAUGUACUGUUGAGGCUGGUAAAAGAGUUAGAGAACUCAUAAUUUCUAGCCCAGAGGUAGAUGUAGCUCACAUUCCGUGGAAAUGUUGUUCUAGAGAACGAAACAACUGAUCUGAAGUUGAUCAACUUAUUUUUGUAAUCGAGCGGGAAAAAUUUGCUGAAAGGAUCACGUGUGGAAUGUCGUACGAUGGACAAGCGAUAAAGCGACGAACUUUGUUCGAACUUUGUCGCUAUUUCUUCGUGAACUUAUCGUACAAGCGUUGACGAGCGAUUAAUAUAUGCUUUUCAGGAAAGUUUAUUAAAAAAAUCAAAAUAAAAGUAAAAA
Long non-coding RNA from Actinia tenebrosa (Australian red waratah sea anemone), 727 nucleotides. RefSeq lists it as uncharacterized. The record is from RefSeq and is a predicted model, not a curated record. NCBI's taxonomy places the organism in Eukaryota, Metazoa, Cnidaria, Anthozoa, Actiniaria, Actiniidae.